This 1085-nucleotide long non-coding RNA is filed under the name Chrysemys picta bellii (western painted turtle). RNAcentral describes it as "lncRNA (ENSCPBG00000008425.1)". Lineage: Eukaryota; Metazoa; Chordata; Testudines; Emydidae. The record is from RNAcentral.
AGACUACAGCAGUGGAAUCUCCUGGCAGGUGAUGUUAGGGUUUCCAUGUUCCGUGAUCGUCAAAAGAAUCUUGUCCCAUUCUUCUUCAUGGAAGGUGAUCUUGUAGCCUGCAACAACAUCGAUGGUGUGAUGGCAGCCCUCAACAUCCUUCACGAUCCAGAUGAGUGGAGACUGUUCAUUGAUUCAUCGAAGACGAGUCUUAAAGCUGUUUUACUGCAUAAUGGCAAUGUUUUGCCAUCAAUUCCAGUUGGUCAUGCAGUCCAUAUGAAGGAAACCUAUGACAACACGAAACAACUUUUGAGGUGCAUAAACUAUGACCAACAUCAGUGGCAGCUUUGUGGCGAUUUGAAGGUUGUUGCGCUGUUGCUUGGUCUGCAGACUGGAUACACAAAGUACUGCUGUUUUCUCCGCGAAUGGGAUAGUCGUGCAAGAGAUUCCCACUACAUCAAGAAAGAUUGGCAACUCCGACAGUCAUUGGAGCCUGGGAGGAAAAGUGUUCAGCAUCCACCACUUGUUGAAUCAAGGAAGUUUUUGUUACCACCCUUACACAUCAAGCUGGGUCUGAUUAAGAACUUUGUCAAGGCCAUUGACAAAACACAAGCAGCUUUCAAGUACCUCCGUGGUAAAUUUCCAAGGUUAAGUGAAGCUAAGAUAAAGGAAGGUGUCUUUGUUGGUCCUCAGAUUCGUGAACUUCUUCGAGAUGAUGCAUUUGACCAUGCACUGCANNNNNNNNNNNNNNNNNNNNGGUUAGUGGCAAUAAAUGUUCUCGGAAACAACCAGGCAGACAACUACAGGUUGUUGGUGGAAAACCUCCUCAAGGCAUACAAAAGCCUUGGUUGCAACAUGUCACUAAAAAUACAUUUUUUGCACUCUCAUCUAGAUUUUUUUCCACCAAACUGUGGAGCAGUGAGCGACAAGCACGGCGAGCGAUUUCACCAGGACAUUGCAACAAUGGAGAAAUGCUAUCAGGGCAAAUGGAGCCCAUCAAUGCAUGCAGACUAUUGCUGGACAGUGACAAGAGAUGCUCCAUUGAAUGAAUACAAGAGACAAGCCAAGAAGCGCCGAGUAGACACUGAAUAGGACUA